CUGAGUACGGCGGAACACGUGAAAUUCCGUCGGAAUCCGGGAGGACCAUCUCCCAAGGCUAAAUACUCCCUAGUGACCGAUAGUGAACCAGUACCGUGAGGGAAAGGUGAAAAGCACCCCGGAAGGGGAGUGAAACAGUUCCUGAAACCGUGUGCCUACAAGUAGUUAGAGCCCGUUAAUGGGUGAUAGCGUGCCUUUUGUAGAAUGAACCGGCGAGUUACGAUUUGUUGCAAGGUUAAGCGGAAAAAGCGGAGCCGUAGCGAAAGCGAGUCUGAAUAGGGCGCAUAAGUAACAGGUCGUAGACCCGAAACCAGGUGAUCUACCCAUGUCCAGGAUGAAGGUAAGGUAAUACUUACUGGAGGUCCGAACCCACGCACGUUGAAAAGUGCGGGGAUGAGGUGUGGGUAGCGGAGAAAUUCCAAUCGAACUUGGAGAUAGCUGGUUCUCUCCGAAAUAGCUUUAGGGCUAGCCUCGAGGUAAAGAGUCAUGGAGGUAGAGCACUGUUUGGACUAGGGGCCCUUCUCGGGUUACCGAAUUCAGAUAAACUCCGAAUGCCAUGUACUUAUACUCGGGAGUCAGACUGCGAGUGAUAAGAUCCGUAGUCGAAAGGGAAACAGCCCAGACCACCAGUUAAGGUCCCCAAAUAUAUGUUAAGUGGAAAAGGAUGUGGGGUUGCUUAGACAACCAGGAUGUUGGCUUAGAAGCAGCCACCAUUGAAAGAGUGCGUAAUAGCUCACUGGUCGAGUGACCCCGCGCCGAAAAUGUACCGGGGCUAAACAUAUUACCGAAACUGUGGAUGAACCUCUUUAGAGGUUCGUGGUAGGAGAGCGUUCUAAGGGCGGUGAAGUCAGACCGGAAGGACUGGUGGAGCGCUUAGAAGUGAGAAUGCCGGUAUGAGUAGCGAAAGAAGGGUGAGAAUCCCUUCCACCGAAUAUCUAAGGUUUCCUGAGGAAGGCUCGUCCGCUCAGGGU
RNAcentral lists this ribosomal RNA (971 nucleotides) under Listeria monocytogenes. RNAcentral describes it as "partial 23S ribosomal RNA". It matches the Rfam family "Bacterial large subunit ribosomal RNA", at positions 408 to 1380 of the family's 2925-position model. Lineage: Bacteria; Bacillati; Bacillota; Bacilli; Caryophanales; Listeriaceae. The record is from RNAcentral.